UUACAGUGAUUUUACCCGCUCUGCACUAUUGUGAAUGUGUUUCCAUAGUGUAUGACCAGAUUAUCAGAGGUCUUUGGGACCCACUCUCGUACACACAUAGGCUUUGGGCCGUGUACUAGGGUGAUUAGCCUUUGGGGCAGCUCUGCGUACGUAUGACCAGAUUAUCAGAUUAUCAGCUAUCAGAUUAUCAGAUUUGAAUGGCUUUGCCUUGUACAUCGAGAUUACUCUGUACAUGAGUAAGGCUAUUCAUUGGGUACUCUUUUUGGUGUGAUUUUUCAGUAUUUAUUCUAUUAUCAGAUUUCAGAUUAUGGAAUUCAGUUAAUUCAGUUUUCAGAAUAAAGCUUUCAGCUUAUAGUAUUAAGGCAGCAAUAUUUCAUAAUUUUUCAUGGAUAUCAGAGUAUUUAUAGUCAUUAUGUUAUACAGUUGCCUUUCUAGAAUUAUGUCCAAGAAAUUAUGAUAUGAUCAUGUUUAGUUUUUA
Molecule: long non-coding RNA, 478 nt
Filed under: Olea europaea subsp. europaea
Lineage: Eukaryota; Viridiplantae; Streptophyta; Magnoliopsida; Lamiales; Oleaceae
Source: RNAcentral